Molecule: long non-coding RNA, 1275 nt
Organism: Felis catus (domestic cat)
Lineage: Eukaryota; Metazoa; Chordata; Mammalia; Carnivora; Felidae
Exons: 2
Source: RefSeq, a predicted model, not a curated record
AGGAUCCUCUGCAGCAGAGGUGGGUCUCGCUCAUGUGGAACAGCCAUGGGUAAAACAGACGCUGCCCAAGGUACCUGCCUCAGUGAAGAAAAGCAGGGAGAGGGGAGCCCAUCAAGUCAACCUGUAUCAUUUAUGGUGCCAGAAGAGUUCCAAGGCUCUGUGCAAGCACAACUCCACUUCUCAAGACCAUUCCCUGUUCCAAACGUAGUUACGAAAUGACAGAGGACACAGAUGGGUUCUUUGAAACAUACACGUCGUAUCAAAAGAAUAAGUUUAAGGGAAGUGGCAUAAAAGAGAGGCAGAAGAGAAAUCCUGCUGCUAUUGAAGCCGUGGUCAAUUUCUCCAACAUGUGCAGAGCCGAGCAGGCAGGGUGGUAAAUUGUCAUUCUCGGCACAUGACCUCGGAGUACAUCCCGGCUCCACGCGCUGUGUGUGCUGAUGGGAGGAAAGCUGUUUUUCCCCUGCAAAACCACUUCAAAGGCCGGGAGAAGAUGGCCCUCCCAGGGGGAAUGGCAGCUUGUGUGCACAUGCUUGGGACCUCAGGUGGCAGGCAUUGUGAUGGGAGAUGCUUUCUGCCAGAGGAGGUUAUUAAAUGUUGAAUCUCUCAUCUCCAUGGCCUCUGCUUUUCAGCAGCUGGACAAAGAGGACAGAAGUAACAGUCCCACUGCUUCCUCUCCACGAGAUGGUCAUGUGAUCAACUCUGUGGGGUUUUGCUGGAGACAGGUGGUCUGGUGGCCCUCCCUGGCCCAGAUCAACCCCAAACACCAACCUCACUGUAUCUGCUAGUUAUGGUGUAUAGACCAGAUAUCAAAGGACUGGAAAUGACUUCAUUUAACCCAUGUAUCAUGUGUGAGGCAGCACUACCCCGUUUUGCUGGUAAGCAAACACAGGCUCCUGGAGAAGAAAGAAUUUGCCCAGGAUACGUGAAUUUCAAUUUGCAAUGGAACCGGAGAAUGGGAAAUGGAGAAUCCCACACAGGUGCCCUCAGAAGACCCAAGUUUAAAAACUGAAAAUCGCAUUUCCCAUAAACGCCUGACUUACAGAAGACAGAAACCUAUCUCCUGACCAAUGAAUAUCUGCCUAGAAUCCCUCUCUAUCCUCAAGCCAAUGAAUUUACCACUUGGACUCUGGCUAGAUCUCCCCUUCUUGCACUCCUGGCCCAUCAAUACAGCACACCCCGAACCCUCAACAGACUCACCGGUUUCUUGCUAUGGCUGCAUUUCCCAAGCUGCAAUUCCUCUGCUAUUCCCAAAUAAACUCGAUUUGAGUUUGGUAA